Molecule: ribosomal RNA, 465 nt
Filed under: uncultured bacterium
Lineage: Bacteria
Description: partial 16S ribosomal RNA
Rfam family: Bacterial small subunit ribosomal RNA
Source: RNAcentral
GACGAACGCUGGCGGCGUGCUUAACACAUGCAAGUCGUACGGUAAGGCCCUUUAGGGGGUACACGAGUGGCGAACGGGUGCGUAACACGUGAGUAACCUGCCCACAACAUUGGGAGAACGCUAGGAAACUGGUGCUAAUACUGGCGAUGUGCUCCUGCUGCAUGGUGGGGGUUGGUAAGCUCCGGCGGUUGUGGAUGGACUCGCGGCCUAUCAGCUUGUUGGUGGGGUAGUGGCCUACCAAGGCGGCGACGGGUAGCCGGCCGGAGUAGGUGACCGGCCACAUUGCGACUGAGAUGCGGCCCAGACUCCCACGGGGGGGAGCAGUGGGGAAUAUUGCACCAUGGGCGCCAGCCAGUUGCAGCAACGCCGCGUGCGGGAUGGCGGCCUUAGGGUUGCAGACCGCUUUCAGCAGGGACGAAGCUUUUUGUGACGGUACCUGCAGAAGAAGCACCGGCUAACUUCGUG